UAUAGCCGAGUUGGUAAGGGGUUCGAACCCUAAAUCGAAAGAUCGCAGGUUCGAAUCCCG
Molecule: transfer RNA, 60 nt
Filed under: Phaeocystis globosa
Lineage: Eukaryota; Haptophyta; Phaeocystales; Phaeocystaceae
Source: RNAcentral